CAGAAAUAUAUGUGUGUUUGGAACUUUGCAGACAGUUUAGGAGCUCAUUCACGGCCUCUAGAAAAGAACUCCUGAACUGGAGUUGGCUGAAGAGCCUUCUACCUCUGGCAUUUAAAGCGUGCUGGAGCGAGGGGAAAGGCUCUUAUAGGGCCACGAGGGGCAGAGGUGGGGGGCUCCUAAGCCUGGGAGCAGCAAGGCCUUUCGAGGUGUGGGUUCUGCCUGAGCACAGCAUCAGGGAUCUGUGAGCAUGAUCUGGAGGACCCUGGGUGGGAUGGGGAAGCGUUUAUCCAAGGGGCCGCCGACUUUCCUGCCCUCAGCCCCCUCUUGCUCCCUCUGCCUAUCUGUCCUGUUCCUGAGGGUCAAGUGUCUCAGAGGAUCUUGGAGAUCUGGUAACCGCCCCCUCGCACUGAAGCGGCUAAAGGCAGACCAUGGACUAGACCCGCCGGAGGGGCUGGCACUGCCCCCACCCCCUCUGCCAGCCGACGCCUCUUGCUAAAAACAGCCGGGCCCGGGGCCUUUCAGGCCACCCCCUCCAGGCCCGGGCAGGUAUUAGAGGCCGAAGCUGGGCCAGGCGAGCUGGACACCAUGCUGUUCACAGAGACCGCCCACUUCGUGGUGAAUUUCCUUCUGUCCAGGUGGAAGCACCAGUGGCAGAAUAUUAACUACCAACUCCUGGACAAGAGGAAGAGCCAUCUGGUUCCCCUGCGCCCGUGAGAGCGGAGAGGGGCGGGGCCAGGAGAGGGCGCGACCCCCGGAGGGGCGGGUCCAGAGGCGGGGCCUAGCGGAGGUGUGGGGGAAGGGCGAGGCCUGAGCGCGACGUCUGCGGCGGCCUUGCCCGCUCCAGGGCGAGGAGGGCUUGAGCCGAUGGGAGAGGCCCCGCGGGCAAGGCGUAGGUCUCUGCGGGGUUAUUCGUCCCUGCCCUUCUCUGACCCCUGCAAGUAUUUUUUAAAAGGUUAACAAAUUUGACUAUAUUAAAAUUUCUGUUCAUCAGAAAUCACCUAAGAAAAUAAAAUAGAGCUCCAAACAGGGAUCCUCAAACAUAAUGCCAGCUUUGUGCCCCCGUGCAGGGAGCGCAGGGACCAGGAUAGGUCGUGCCUUCUGGCACCAACUGGGUCAGCCCCAGGGGAGAAUGGGCCUGGUGACCAGGCUGAAUGAACUCAGGGAAGGAAGGCUCAGGGUGGCUUGAAGGGCACUGUCUCGGCGACAGUCCUGAGCAUGAUCAUCAUGUGUGCGCUUCACGUUUUUGUGCAUCUCUGAAUGUCUGCAUCCAACUCUUAGCAUGGCUCUGUUUCACUGUGCAUCCGUCUAUCUCUGGUCUCUGUGUCUGUUUAUUUAUUCAACAAAUAUUCACGUAGGGCCCAUUUCAGUGGUUUGUGCCAGGUUUAUACUCUGAGUCGCUGGAUUCACUUUGGUGAAACAAACAGUGGAAGUCCCUGCCCUCAGGAGCUUACAUUCUGGUUGGGGAGGUAGAUGAUACAAGAGGUCAGGGGUUUGAAAAGAACAAAGUGGACCGUGUGCUACUUUACGUGGAGUGGGCAGGGCCUCUGUCUUGUUCACAGACCUGGAACAGCGGCUGACUCAUAAUUGGGGCUCAGUAAAAGUUGAGUGAAUGCAUGGGUUGGUCAGGAGGUCCUGUCUGAGCAGGUAACUCUCAAUCAAGGCUUGCAGGAUGAGGGACCAACCACUCCAGACCCUGGGAAGAGUGUUCUGGGUAGAGAGAACGGCAUACAUCUAGAGGGCGGCCUCUUGCCUCUGGCCGUCUGUCCUGGAGUAUCCUGUUGCUGUGUCUCUGCUGUCUGUUGUCUCUGUGAUCUUGGGAGCUGUGGGGCAGGUUUAAACAGGGCCUCCCCCCAGGGUCUCUGGAAGUGAGGUCACUGCUGAGCUGAUUCACCACACUGGCCCACUCUGGCCUAACUGGGCUGGCCUGCCAUUCCCCUGAAAGCUACCCCUCCCCCCAGCAGCCUCAGUCCCACGACCUCUGGCUCCUUCCCAAGGUAGCAUCCUGCAGCCCGGAAGGAAGUCCUUCGUCCUGUCUAACCACAGUCCCUGCUGAGCCAACGCCAGGCCUUUCCUCUCAUUCUGCCUUGUGGGCAGAGGGCAGGAGAUGAGCUGGCCCUGCAGCAGCAACCUAGACAGAGAUCCCAGUGAGGACCUGAUGAAAUGGGGGUGACAACCCUCUGGCAGCCCCAGGGAGGUGAACCUCUGAAGCACAGAGAUAAUCACUCCUCCUAGAGGCUUCUGCCACAUCCGUUAUCUCAUUUAAUCCUGUAAUAUCCCAUCUUACAGAGAGAAAGUCAGGCAGGUCCAGGGAGGAAAAUGUGGCAGAACUGGGACCAGAACCCAGGUCUCUUGAUAAAAGAGAAAUAAUCACAACAACUAAUAUUUGUUGCACAUUUACUCUCUGCCAGGUACUGAGCUAAAACUGCAUACAUUUUCUUUUUUAAGCCUCAUCACAACCCUGUAUGUUGGGUAUCCUCAUUCCUAUCAUCCUCAGAUAAGGAGAGUGAGGCUCAGAGCCAUUAAAUGACUUGCCCAAGGACACCCAGCUUGUUGGUGGCAGAGCUGUGUGUGAGCCAGGCAGUCUGGCGUGCUCAGCUCCACACCCAGGGCCCCGGGGUUCCAGAGGAGUGUCAUGGAUGUCUGUUUUCCAGAAUGUGAGGAAACAGGCUCCAGGUUCAUCACAUGGUGGUCCCAAGGCCGACUUGUGCAAGCCAGGAUGACAGGAGGACGGCCUGGGAGCACUGCUCGAUCCCAUAGCCCUUCCCUGUGGCUGAAGAUGAUCCAUCUUCGCCCUGUCUCCUGAGGUCUCCGUGUUUCUGCCCUUCACGGCCCAAAUAAAGCAGCUUUUGCCUCUCUCUGGCCCUCUCCACUUUGCAGGGUGAUGAUCUCAGUUCCUUCCAUUCGCAUACACUGUUAGACUGAACCCAAAGGCUGGGAGGGCAUCUGCUGCCACCCCUGACCCUUCCACUGCUCCCAUCUCCCCCGUGAACCCCCCAGUGGGAUAGCCUAGAUGACCCAGACCUGGCUCCUGCCCUCUAGACUCUCGCUGUGCCAUAGAAAGAGAAAGGCAGAGACAUACACCAGCUCAGUAAAGUGCCACAGGAGAGUGAUAUUGUUUGGGGCACAGUGAGUCCUCUGGUGAGUGAGGAAAGCCUUCAGGAAGGGUCUUGAGCUGAAUCUUGACAGGUGGGCAGGCACUGGGUAGGCAUAAGUAGCGCUCCAGGCAGAUUUGGCAGCACAGAGAAAGGUUUGGUCAUUUGCAGGCUGAACUCCUCAUCCCACUGAGGGAACCGUGAGACUGGCGGCCAAAUGGGCUCUGCUUAAAAUGAGGCUAGCUGGACUGGAGCUUCAAAGACGUUGAAGGCUAGAAUAGGGGCUGGACAUUCUCCGGGAGGAAGUAGGGAACCAAGGACAAGUUUUAAACAGGGGAGAGACAUGGUCCCAUCAUGGCAUCUCCAGGCCUAGAGAGUCUCAGAGUCCACUCGGGCGGGCAACAAGUGGUCUCCAGCCCUCAACUACACCCAAGGCCUGCGGCACCUGUCCCUGUGCUUCCCCUUACCCUCUCCCAGAUCGUACUCAGGACUGAGGCCAGGAGUGGAUCUUGCCCAAGC
This is a long non-coding RNA of Equus caballus (horse), 3611 nucleotides long. NCBI's taxonomy places the organism in Eukaryota, Metazoa, Chordata, Mammalia, Perissodactyla, Equidae. The record is from Ensembl.